UUUCAAAGGCCCUGAAUUCGAUCACUUAGUUCGAACGUGGGUUCUACGAGGCAUAGAACACGAUCCCCCGCCCGCCGCCGAUCCACGUGAGCCGGCUGAUUGCGCAAUAGUGCACGCUGACUUUGACCCCCGUGCAGGCAUGCAUAUCCGGGUCACAGGCGCUUCAUAUUUCAGAGGCAACAUGGCCACGGUAGAAGGAACACUUGAACGUAAAAAAACACCCGAAAAUGCGCAUUUUCUUGGUCAGAGCCGCAUUUUUCCCCGUAGAAGAGUGGAUAAGUGCCUUCGUCAUUGAACAUCCGACUUAGGCUUGACAAGUGCUGGGAGAAAAUGAAGUACCAGGAAUGAGAAGAGGAUGACAACUCACACAAGUCCUUAUUCAAGGUAGCCCCAAGGCCAGACUAUGCUGACAACAAAUUGCAUGCUGCAUCCUUUAUUCAAAACAAGUCUUUACAAGGAUCAUGAACUAAUUUAUACAAUGCAACAAGAUAAGUGAGUUAAAAAGGUUACUUCACAGAAGCAAAAUUCCUCUUUUAAUCUGUCAACAGACUGAACAUUUGUCAUAUCAUGAUGCUAGGAGGCAGUGAUAUGUGGAAUAACUGUCACCAAUCUUAGUCUGUAUUUAACAUAAAUGCACACAAACCAUGCAAGGUGACAAGUUAAUUUACUAGGGGAAACUGAACUGCAGCUAGCAGUGGUGAUGUAAAAAUCUAGCUAGUGAGUCAACUCUGGGACAUCACAGAACCUGGCAUGGACAUUGAGGAAGUUGGAGUUGGACACUAUCCACAUUCUGACAGGACUCUCUUAGUAGCCACCAUGGACAGCAGUAUGACCUGUAGCCAAGCAAGAACAUGGGGAAGAUUUGUGUUAAAUGCUGCAAUAUGCUACAUGUCUGAAUAAAGAUAUCUGUAGAUAAAGUA
This is a long non-coding RNA of Branchiostoma floridae (Florida lancelet), 920 nucleotides long. RefSeq lists it as uncharacterized. The transcript is spliced from 3 exons. The record is from RefSeq and is a predicted model, not a curated record. Lineage: Eukaryota; Metazoa; Chordata; Leptocardii; Amphioxiformes; Branchiostomatidae.